RNAcentral lists this ribosomal RNA (459 nucleotides) under uncultured bacterium. RNAcentral's name for it is "partial 16S ribosomal RNA". It matches the Rfam family "Bacterial small subunit ribosomal RNA", at positions 338 to 795 of the family's 1533-position model. The record is from RNAcentral.
CCUACGGGUGGCAGCAGUGAGGAAUAUUGGUCAAUGGACGAGAGUCUGAACCAGCCAAGUAGCGUGAAGGAUGACUGCCCUAUGGGUUGUAAACUUCUUUUAUAUGGGAAUAAAGUGAGGAACGUGUUCCUUUUUGUAUGUACCAUAUGAAUAAGCAUCGGCUAACUCCGUGCCAGCAGCCGCGGUAAUACGGAGGAUGCGAGCGUUAUCCGGUUUUAUUGGGUUUAAAGGGUGCGUAGGCGGAUCGUUAAGUCAGUGGUCAAAUUGAGGUGCUCAACCCCUUCCCGCCAUUGAAACUGGCGUUCGUGAGUGGAAGAGAAGUAUGCGGAAUGCGUGGUGUAGCGGUGAAAUGCAUAGAUAUCACGCAGAACCCCGAUUGCGAAGGCAGCAUGCCGGCUUCCGACUGACGCUGAAGCACGAAAGCGUGGGGAUCGAACAGGAUUAGAUACCCCAGUAGUC